GGUUACUGCUAUCGGUGUUCGCCUAAGCCAUGCGAGUCAUAUGUUCGUAAGAACAUGGCGUACUGCUCAGUAACACGUGGAUAACCUGCCCUUGGGUCCGGCAUAACCCCGGGAAACUGGGGAUAAUCCCGGAUAACGCACAUAUGCUGGAAUGCUUUUUGCGUAAAAUGGAUUCGUCUGCCCAAGGAUGGGUCUGCGGCCUAUCAGGUAGUAGUGGGUGUAAUGUACCUACUAGCCUACGACGGGUACGGGUUGUGAGAGCAAGAGCCCGGAGAUGGAUUCUGAGACAUGAAUCCAGGCCCUACGGGGCGCAGCAGGCGCGAAAACUUUACAAUGCGGGAAACCGUGAUAAGGGGACACCGAGUGCCAGCAUCCUAUGCUGGCUGUCCGGGUGUGUAAAAUACACCUGUUAGCAAGGGCCGGGCAAGACCGGUGCCAGCCGCCGCGGUAACACCGGCGGCCCGAGUGGUGAUCGUGAUUAUUGGGUCUAAAGGGUCCGUAGCCGGUUUGGUCAGUCCUCCGGGAAAUCUGACAGCUUAACUGUUAGGCUUUCGGAGGAUACUGCCAGACUUGGAACCGGGAGAGGUAAGAGGUACUACAGGGGUAGGAGUGAAAUCUUGUAAUCCCUGUGGGACCACCUGUGGCGAAGGCGUCUUACCAGAACGGGUUCGACGGUGAGGGACGAAAGCUGGGGGCACGAACCGGAUUAGAUACCCGGGUAGUCCCAGCCGUAAACGAUGCUCGCUAGGUGUCAGGCAUGGCGCGACCGUGUCUGGUGCCGCAGGGAAGCCGUGAAGCGAGCCACCUGGGAAGUACGGCCGCAAGGCUGAAACUUAA
This 837-nucleotide ribosomal RNA is filed under the name uncultured archaeon. Its description in RNAcentral is "bacterial SSU rRNA". It matches the Rfam family "Archaeal small subunit ribosomal RNA", at positions 21 to 859 of the family's 1478-position model. The record is from RNAcentral.